CAAUAGCGUAUAUUAAAGUUGUUGCAGUUAAAAAGCUCGUAGUUGGAUUUCUGGGUCAAGCUCCUGGUCCGCCGCUAUGCGGUGCCGACUGUGUGUAGCGUUGAUUCAUCCUUGUGGGAAUUCCAGUUUGGGCUUCGUUGUCCGGCUGGCGGAACCGCAUCUUUUACUGUGAAAAAAUUAGAGUGUUCAAAGCAGGCUUACGCUGUGAAUACAUUAGCAUGGAAUAAUACGAUAGGACUUUGGUUCUAUUUUGUUGGUUGGAGACCAAGGUAAUGAUUAAUAGGGAUAGUUGGGGGUAUUCAUAUUUAAUUGUCAGAGGUGAAAUUCUUGGAUUUAUGAAAGAUGAACUUAUGCGAAAGCAUUUACCAAGGAUGUUUNCAUUA
This 383-nucleotide ribosomal RNA is filed under the name uncultured eukaryote. RNAcentral describes it as "partial 18S ribosomal RNA". It matches the Rfam family "Eukaryotic small subunit ribosomal RNA", at positions 592 to 975 of the family's 1831-position model. The record is from RNAcentral.